UACGUAGGGGGCUAGCGUUGUUCGGAUUCACUGGGCGUAAAGGGUGCGUAGGUGGCGGGGUAAGUCGGAUGUGAAAUCUCCGAGCUCAACUCGGAAAUGGCAUUGGAAACUACCUUGCUCGAGGAUUGAAGGGGGGACUGGAAUGCUCGGUGUAGCGGUGGAAUGCGCAGAUAUCAGGAAGAACACCAACGGCGAAGGCAGCUCGCUAGGACGGUACUGACGCUGAGACGCGAAAGCGUGGGGAGCGAACAGG
This 253-nucleotide ribosomal RNA is filed under the name uncultured bacterium. RNAcentral describes it as "partial 16S ribosomal RNA". It matches the Rfam family "Bacterial small subunit ribosomal RNA", at positions 524 to 776 of the family's 1533-position model. The record is from RNAcentral.